GACGAAGGACCCGAGCGUUAUCCGGAUUCAUUGGGUUUAAAGGGUGCGUAGGCGGACUUAUAAGUCAGUGGUGAAAUCUCCAGGCUCAACUUGGAAACUGCCAUUGAUACUGUUAGUCUUGAAUCUGGCUGAUGUGGGCGGAAUAUGACAUGUAGCGGUGAAAUGCUUAGAUAUGUCAUAGAACACCGAUUGCGAAGGCAGCUCACAAAACCAGUAUUGACGCUGAGGCACGAAAGUGCGGGGAUCAAACAGG
This 253-nucleotide ribosomal RNA is filed under the name uncultured bacterium. RNAcentral describes it as "partial 16S ribosomal RNA". It matches the Rfam family "Bacterial small subunit ribosomal RNA", at positions 524 to 776 of the family's 1533-position model. The record is from RNAcentral.